RNAcentral lists this ribosomal RNA (492 nucleotides) under uncultured bacterium. RNAcentral describes it as "partial 16S ribosomal RNA". It matches the Rfam family "Bacterial small subunit ribosomal RNA", at positions 29 to 507 of the family's 1533-position model. The record is from RNAcentral.
AGUGAACGCUGGCGGUAGGCCUAACACAUGCAAGUCGAACGGCAGCACAGUAAGAGCUUGCUCUUACGGGUGGCGAGUGGCGGACGGGUGAGGAAUACAUCGGAAUCUACUUUUUCGUGGGGGAUAACGUAGGGAAACUUACGCUCAUACCGCAUACGACCUACGGGUGAAAGCAGGGGAUCUUCGGACCUUGCGCGAUUGAAUGAGCCGAUGUCGGAUUAGCUAGUUGGCGGGGUAAAUGCCCACCAAGGCGACGAUCCGUAGCUGGUCUGAGAGGAUGAUCAGCCACACUGGAACUGAGACACGGUCCAGACUCCUACGGGAGGCAGCAGUGGGGAAUAUUGGACAAUGGGCGCAAGCCUGAUCCAGCCAUACCGCGUGGGUGAAGAAGGCCUUCGGGUUGUAAAGCCCUUUUGUUGGGAAAGAAAAGCAGCAGGUUAAUACCCCGCUGUUCUGACGGUACCCAAAGAAUAAGCACCGGCUAACUUCGUG